RNAcentral lists this ribosomal RNA (376 nucleotides) under uncultured archaeon. RNAcentral describes it as "bacterial SSU rRNA". It matches the Rfam family "Archaeal small subunit ribosomal RNA", at positions 347 to 727 of the family's 1478-position model. The record is from RNAcentral.
ACUUUACCAUGCGGGCAACCGUGAUAAGGAAACCCCGAGUGCCAGCACAGGCUGUCUGUCCGCCAGUGUAAAUAACUGGUGAAGAAAGGGCCGGGCAAGACCGGUGCCAGCCGCCGCGGUAAUACCGGCGGCUCGAGUGGUUGCCACUAUUACUGGGCUUAAAGGGUCCGUAGCUUGAUAUGCAAGUCUCUUGAGAAAUCCGCCAGCUUAACUGGUGGGCGUUCAGGGGAAACUGCAUUUCUAGGGACCGGGAGAGGUGAGAGGUACUGCCGGGGUAGGAGUGAAAUCCUGUAAUCCCGGUGGGACCACCUAUGGAGAAGGCAUCUCACCAGAACGGGUCCGACAGUGAGGGACGAAAGCUGGGGGAGCAAACCGG